CUUGCAAACUAAAGAUGGCGACCGGCGCACGGGUGAGUAACACGUAUCCAACCUGCCGAUAACUCGGGGAUAGCCUUUCGAAAGAAAGAUUAAUAUCCGAUGGUAUAUUAAAACCGCAUGGUUUUACUAUUAAAGAAUUCGGUUAUCGAUGGGGAUGCGUUCCAUUAGUUUGUUGGCGGGGUAACGGCCCACCAAGACUACGAUGGAUAGGGGUUCUGAGAGGAAGGUCCCCCACAUUGGAACUGAGACACGGUCCAA
RNAcentral lists this ribosomal RNA (258 nucleotides) under uncultured bacterium. RNAcentral's name for it is "partial 16S ribosomal RNA". It matches the Rfam family "Bacterial small subunit ribosomal RNA", at positions 74 to 334 of the family's 1533-position model. The record is from RNAcentral.